CAGUAGCCGCGGGAAUACAGAGGGUGCGAGCGUUAAUCGGAUUUACUGGGCGUAAAGCGUGCGUAGGCGGCUAAUUGAGUCGGAUGUGAAAUCCCCGAGCUUAACUUGGGAAUUGCAUUCGAUACUGGUUAGCUAGAGUGUGGGAGAGGAUGGUAGAAUUCCAGGUGUAGCGGUGAAAUGCGUAGAGAUCUGGAGGAAUACCGAUGGCGAAGGCAGCCAUCUGGCCUAAUACUGACGCUGAGGUACGAAAGCAUGGGGAGCAAACAGGAUUAGAUACCCCAGUAGUCCCUGUCUCUUAUAC
RNAcentral lists this ribosomal RNA (301 nucleotides) under uncultured bacterium. Its description in RNAcentral is "partial 16S ribosomal RNA". It matches the Rfam family "Bacterial small subunit ribosomal RNA", at positions 509 to 807 of the family's 1533-position model. The record is from RNAcentral.